Molecule: ribosomal RNA, 468 nt
Filed under: uncultured bacterium
Lineage: Bacteria
Description: partial 16S ribosomal RNA
Rfam family: Bacterial small subunit ribosomal RNA
Source: RNAcentral
GACGAACGCUGGCGGCGUGCUUAACACAUGCAAGUCGAACGGAAAGGCCCUGCUUUUGUGGGGUGCUCGAGUGGCGAACGGGUGAGUAACACGUGAGUAACCUGCCCCUGACUUUGGGAUAACUUCAGGAAACUGGGGCUAAUACCGGAUAGGAGCUCCUGCUGCAUGGUGGGGGUUGGAAAGUUUCGGCGGUUGGGGAUGGACUCGCGGCUUAUCAGCUUGUUGGUGGGGUAGUGGCUUACCAAGGCUUUGACGGGUAGCCGGCCUGGGAGGGUGACCAGCCACAUUGGGCCUGAGGUACGGCCCAGACUCCUACCUGAGGCAGUAGUGGGGAAUAUUGCACAACAGGCGGAAGCCUGAUGCAGCAGCGCCGCGUGCGGGAUGACGGCCUUCGGGUUGUAAACCGCUUUCGCCUGUGACGAAGCGUGAGUGACGGUAAUGGGUAAAGAAGCACCGGCUAACUACGUG